AAUUAUCAUUUGACUUUUUUUUCUGUUAAAAUAUGCUUUCUGAAUACAAAGCUGUCAUUAUAUUGUCUGAUAUCAGAGUGCAUCAUCUUUGGAUGAGUAUAUAAAUUAUACAUUUCUGGAGAUUGAGCAAUUAAAUAUUAAUUUAUAGUAAUAUAAUGACCAUAGUAUUAUUAUAGUGAUGGUAUUAUUAGUAACAGUAAUUGAUGAGAGAAUAAAAGAUUUAUAUCUUUUAUUGUUAUAGUAUUAUAUCUGAGGGAGUUAGCAGGAGAGCACCACACUCUGAGUUCCAAUCGUGAGUCCUUUAUUGCCGGCGACCAAGAGACGGUUAACCCUCAAAAUUCCCUCGGCCCCAAGGAAGAAAUAACACAAAGAUCAAUAACCGGAAGGAAGCCAGAGGGAUGAAAAUACAUGGUGGAUGAGGCUUGUUUUGCACAAGGCACUUCUGAGAGAUAUUAG
RNAcentral lists this long non-coding RNA (456 nucleotides) under Callithrix jacchus (white-tufted-ear marmoset). RNAcentral's name for it is "lncRNA (ENSCJAG00000072379.1)". Lineage: Eukaryota; Metazoa; Chordata; Mammalia; Primates; Cebidae. The record is from RNAcentral.